This 457-nucleotide ribosomal RNA is filed under the name uncultured Fibrobacter sp. RNAcentral describes it as "bacterial SSU rRNA". It matches the Rfam family "Bacterial small subunit ribosomal RNA", at positions 338 to 795 of the family's 1533-position model. The record is from RNAcentral. Lineage: Bacteria; Pseudomonadati; Fibrobacterota; Fibrobacteria; Fibrobacterales; Fibrobacteraceae.
CCUACGGGAGGCUGCAGUAGGGAAUAUUGCGCAAUGGGGGGAACCCUGACGCAGCAACGCCACGUGUGGGAAGAAGCAUUUCGGUGUGUAAACCACUGUCGGAAAGGAAUAACGGAAGACUUCGGUCUUUAUGAAUGUACUUUUAGAGGAAGCACCGGCAAACUUCGUGCCAGCAGCCGCGGUAAUACGAGGGGUGCAAGCGUUGUUCGGAAUCACUGGGCGUAAAGGGAGCGUAGGCGGAAGUGCAAGCAAUCUGUAUAAUCCUGGGGCCCAACCCCAGUUCUGCAGAUUGGACUGUAUUUCUUGAAUAGUUCAGAGGCAAGCGGAAUUUCUGGUGUAGCGGUGGAAUGCGUAGAGAUCAGAAAGAACACCAAUGGCGAAGGCAGCUUGCUGGGGACUUAUUGACGCUGAGGCUCGAAAGUGUGGGUAGCAAACAGGAUUAGAUACCCCAGUAGUC